Molecule: RNA transcript, 3202 nt
Organism: Aptenodytes forsteri (emperor penguin)
Lineage: Eukaryota; Metazoa; Chordata; Aves; Sphenisciformes; Spheniscidae
Gene: STRBP
Gene name: spermatid perinuclear RNA binding protein
Exons: 19
Source: RefSeq, a predicted model, not a curated record
GAUUUUCAAAGAACACUGAAAAGCACUCAGCACAUCCAGAAUUGCACCCUGAGGUGAAUUACAGAAAGUGACUCCCAGAGCAUCUUGGCUGUAUGAACUCUUGAGCUGUCAAGGGACUGAGAGGCUUAUGAAGAGGUUCUGUCAGGCAAAACAGUGCUUAGCAAAGACACCGAGGAGGAGGGAAAAGGAGAAAGGGAGGGAGAAAGAGCUGAAACACUAACAAACCAUGAGAUCUAUCCGAUCUUUUGCUAAUGAUGACCGCCAUGUUAUGGUGAAACAUUCAACCAUUUAUCCAUCUCCAGAGGAACUUGAAGCUGUCCAGAACAUGGUAUCAACAGUAGAAUGUGCCCUUAAACAUGUCUCUGACUGGAUGGAUGAAAAGAACAAGUCUAUGAAAUGUGAAGGUGAUGCGGAAGCAAAGGAGGAAGGUGCAGAAAGCAAUGCCAAGGAUCAAGGUGGUCGGACGUUGUGUGGUGUUAUGAGAAUUGGCUUGGUUGCAAAGGGCUUGCUGAUAAAAGAUGAUAUGGAUCUGGAGCUGGUUCUCAUGUGCAAAGAAAAGCCCACAAAGACCUUGUUAUGUAUAGUUAAAGACAAUCUCCCAGCUCAAAUUCAGAAACUUACAGAAGAGAAGUAUCUCGUGGAGGAGCAUGUAAAUGAGGCAGCUAUUCUUAUUCGUAACACAAAGGAGCCCAAGCUGACUUUGAAGGUGAUACUUACAUCCCCUCUCAUUCGAGAUGAAGCAGAGAAGAAGGAAGGAGUAGAUAAUGUUGCGAUGAAAGAUCCUCCGGACUUAUUGGACAGGCAGAAAUGCCUGGAGGCCUUGGCGUCUCUGCGGCACGCCAAAUGGUUUCAGGCCAGGGCAAAUGGACUAAAAUCAUGUGUAAUUGUCCUUCGUAUUCUGCGGGAUUUGUGCAACCGAGUCCCCACAUGGGCACCACUGAAAGGAUGGCCACUCGAGCUUAUAUGUGAAAAAUCUAUAGGUACUUGUAAUAGACCUUUGGGCGCUGGGGAAGCAUUGCGACGAGUGAUGGAGUGUUUGGCAUCUGGAAUUCUGCUUCCCGGAGGCCCUGGUCUGCAUGACCCCUGUGAACGGGAGCCAACAGAUGCUUUGUCUUAUAUGACAGUUCAGCAAAAAGAAGCCAUUACGCACAGUGCUCAGCAUGCCCUCAGAUUAUCAGCGUUUGGUCAGAUCUAUAAGGUUUUGGAAAUGGAUCCCCUGCCAUCAAAUAAGUCAUUUCAGAAAUAUUCCUGGUCAGUAACUGACAAAGAAGGUACAGGCUCAUCUGCUCUUAAGAGACCAUUUGAAGAUAGUGUCGGGGAUGAUAAAGAUCCAAAUAAAAAGAUGAAGCGUAAUCUGAGGAAAAUACUAGAUAGUAAAGCAAUAGAUCUCAUGAAUGCUCUGAUGAGGCUGAACCAAAUCAGGCCAGGGCUUCAGUAUAAGCUGCUGUCACAGUCUGGUCCAGUCCAUGCCCCAGUCUUCACAAUGUCUGUAGAUGUUGAUGGUACGACAUAUGAAGCAUCAGGACCUUCUAAGAAAACAGCCAAGCUCCAUGUGGCAGUGAAGGUUUUACAAGCGAUGGGGUAUCCAACUGGUUUUGAUGCAGAUGUGGAGUGUACGAGUUCUGAUGAAAAAUCAGAUACUGAAGGUAAAAAUGAAACAAUGUCUUCAAUCUCAAGCAAUAAUACUGGAAAUUCCACAGCUGACACCUCUGCUACCCUAGAGGUAAGAACUCAAGGUCCUAUACUCACAGCAAGUGGCAAAAACCCGGUGAUGGAGCUCAAUGAAAAAAGAAGAGGUCUGAAGUAUGAGCUCAUCUCUGAGACAGGUGGAAGCCAUGACAAGCGCUUUGUGAUGGAGGUAGAAGUAGAUGGGCAGAAGUUCAGAGGUGCAGGCCCAAACAAGAAAGUAGCAAAAGCAAGUGCUGCAUUAGCAGCACUUGAAAAACUGUUUUCUGGGCCUAAUGCAGCAAACAACAAGAAAAAGAAGAUUCUUCCUCAGACUAAAGGGGUUGUCAAUACAGCUGUUUCUGCAGCAGUCCAGGCUGUUCGAGGCAGAGGACGAGGUGCUUUAACACGAGGGGCAUUUGUUGGGGCAGCUGCUGCUACUGGAUAUAUAACACCAGGCUAUGGAGCACCGUAUGGGUAUAGUACAGCUGCACCAGCUUACGCCAUAUGCACUUGUAUAAAAUAAGCAGAAAUGUAGUGACUGUAAGCUGAGAUCGUGAUAUAAAAGGUAAGAGAAUUUAUUUUCAGCUUAAAGAAUAUUUUUAUUGCCUUUUUUCUAAAAAUCUCAUAUACCUGUGACAAUCUUGUAUAUGGCACUUUUUUAUUAUGUCUUGUUUAACUAAAUGUUUAAACAGGUAAUAUGUAGGUCUGAAUUCCAACUUUGUAUUUUCCAAGGCCACUUCAAAUACUCCAGUUUCAGUUAAAAAAGAAAGUAACACUUCUAAGAAACUGUUUGGUUUUAUCAACAGACUGUUCUUCAAAUAUUCUUCUCUUGUGUAGCAUAAAAAGCUGUAUUGAUACUGCUGUGUGUCAGGCACUGCAUUUCUUGCAUACCUGUGGAAAACAUUUGGGUGCAAUUGAUGAGCCAUCAGAAUACCCUUCCCAUCUGGUGGUGCAGGUUUUCAUCUGCUGUUAUCUUAAAGGUGCAAACCUGGGGCUUGGUUUGAAGCUCACUUAAAAUUCAAUUCAUUCUUUCAGCCUGUCAGGCUAAGCAGUCCCGAUGGUGGGGCAGCAGGCUGCUCCGUUUCCUUCGGAAGACAGCACUUUAUAUGCAUCAAGGCAAUGUUAAGGUGCAUUAUAAUGAACUUCUCUUGAGUAUUCCUUUCCUAGGCUUAACUGAUGUCAGUCUGACAAGCACUGUCCAGUUCAAGGACUGAUUAAUAAAAUGUCUUGCUGACUCUUCUUUCAUCUGUCUCUUUGUGCCCUGUACUUGGCAGCUUAAUCCAUUUGUAUUGGUUUCCAUCAGAACUGCUUUGACUGUGAAUUUCCGUAUUUUUCUGUCAUUACCCUUUUAACUCUUACAAUCCUAAGCAUUCCCCUCUUUGGCUUUUUUUAAAUUCUUACUUUGUUGGAUCUUCUCUUUUUCACUGAAAUGAUACUAAAUUUCUCUAAUACGUUUUUGUUCAUAAUGCAAGUACUAAUUUACGAAAUUUGUCCCCUUGCCUUUGCUGCACCCCUUCUCAGUAGGACAGACACC